AACGGAAUGUAUCAAUGAGACCUUGUAUAUGGAUACACGUGCAUUUAAAACCGCCCUGCCGGCUUGUAGAGCUCUUGCCGUUCUCCAGCGCUUUACAGGGGUUAUCGCACUUCAGCCUCGGAACAACUUUACCAGAUGAGGACACCUGAGGCUCAGAUUAAGAAAUCUGCCCCAAAGUCUUAGAACUGUGAUUCUACCAGAAAGGAAUGAAGAACAGAACCUUCAGGAAUUGAGUCACAAUGCAGACAAAUAUCAAAUGGGAGAUUGUUGCAAGGAAGAGAUUGAUGAUAGUAUUUUCUACUAGCCGUUGGGAAGAUAAAAGG
Molecule: long non-coding RNA, 323 nt
Organism: Pan troglodytes (chimpanzee)
Lineage: Eukaryota; Metazoa; Chordata; Mammalia; Primates; Hominidae
Exons: 3
Source: RefSeq, a predicted model, not a curated record